GCAUCAUAUUGACAAAAUAAAAAGUGGCUCAAGUCUUUUUGGCUUAUUUUAUGCUUUCGAUAUUUCAAAGUCAAACAAUAACCAGAGAGAGAUUUGAGAUCAAUCACAAUGCACCUAGAAAGGUUUGGAUUGCUGGGAAAUCACUGCCACAUGAAGAGCUAGCUUUCUAUGGAAGAGAGGUAUGAGCGCCUAUGACUCAUAAUGUAAUGUUUCAACCAGAUAAAAAGAUGGAGAUUCGCAAAGCCAUUGGAUGGGAUUCAAAGAAGAAUAUUAGAACUAGGAUCGUGGUUUGCCAUAUUAUGAUGUAUUUUCAAAAACUCAUAAUCAUCCCAUUAGGUUUUAUAUUUUAUGGAUGCAUGCAUGGUUUGGAUGUUAUGACAUGUAAGAUGUAAAACAUCAAUAACUAAAAGGUUAAACCUAAAAUCUCCCAAAAACAAAAUAAAUAUUGAAUUUGGGCC
Mangifera indica (mango) is the source of this 458-nucleotide long non-coding RNA. RefSeq lists it as uncharacterized. The transcript is spliced from 2 exons. The record is from RefSeq and is a predicted model, not a curated record. Lineage: Eukaryota; Viridiplantae; Streptophyta; Magnoliopsida; Sapindales; Anacardiaceae.